RNAcentral lists this ribosomal RNA (433 nucleotides) under uncultured bacterium. Its description in RNAcentral is "partial 16S ribosomal RNA". It matches the Rfam family "Bacterial small subunit ribosomal RNA", at positions 29 to 507 of the family's 1533-position model. The record is from RNAcentral.
AGCGAACGCUGGCGGCAGGCCUAACACAUGCAAGUCGAACGAACUCUUCGGAGUUAGUGGCGGACGGGUGAGUAACACGUGGGAACGUGCCUUUAGGUUCGGAAUAACUCAGGGAAACUUGUGCUAAUACCGAAUGUGCCCUUCGGGGGAAAGAUUUAUCGCCUUUAGAGCGGCCCGCGUCUGAUUAGCUAGUUGGUGAGGUAAAGGCUCACCAAGGCGACGAUCAGUAGCUGGUCUGAGAGGAUGAUCAGCCACAUUGGGACUGAGACACGGCCCAAAUGCCGCGGGGGGGGGGAGGGGGGGAAUUUGGCGAAAGGGGAGAAAGCCUGAAGACGCCAGGCGGGGGAAAGAAUGAGGUUCUAAGGAUUAAAAAAUUCUUUCCGCGGGGCAGAUAAGGACGGAACCCGAAGAAGAAGCCCCGGCUAACUUCGUG